RNAcentral lists this ribosomal RNA (406 nucleotides) under uncultured bacterium. RNAcentral describes it as "bacterial SSU rRNA". It matches the Rfam family "Bacterial small subunit ribosomal RNA", at positions 223 to 621 of the family's 1533-position model. The record is from RNAcentral.
GGAGCGGCCGAUGUCUGAUUAGCUAGUUGGUAAGGUAAUGGCUUACCAAGGCAACGAUCAGUAGUUGGUCUGAGAGGACGACCAGCCACACUGGGACUGAGACACGGCCCAGACUCCUACGGGAGGCAGCAGUGGGGAAUUUUGGACAAUGGGCGCAAGCCUGAUCCAGCAAUGCCGCGUGAGUGAAGAAGGCCUUCGGGUUGUAAAGCUCUUUCAGUUGAGAAGAAAAGAUUGUGACUAAUAAUUGCAAUUCAUGACGGUAUCAACAGAAGAAGCACCGGCUAACUACGUGCCAGCAGCCGCGGUAAUACGUAGGGUGCGAGCGUUAAUCGGAAUUACUGGGCGUAAAGGGUGCGCAGGCGGUUCUGUAAGUCAGAUGUGAAAUCCCCGGGCUUAACCUGGGAAC